This is a long non-coding RNA of Acipenser ruthenus (sterlet), 480 nucleotides long. RefSeq lists it as uncharacterized. The transcript has 3 exons. The record is from RefSeq and is a predicted model, not a curated record. NCBI's taxonomy places the organism in Eukaryota, Metazoa, Chordata, Actinopteri, Acipenseriformes, Acipenseridae.
CUGACCACUGAAGAAAAAAGCAGCAAUGCAGACGCUGUCUUUAUUAAUUUAUAUCCAGACUUUCAGACCUUACAGCUAAGGAAGAAGGGUCUACAAGGUCCCAGCACAGCCACCGGAUAUGCUAUAUCACUUAACUUUUACCUGGAGAACUCUUUACCUUUUAUCUGACUACAGCUUGAAUGGGGGAGACACAGUUUGUCCUCAGUCCUGGGCUCAGUCCCUCUUAAGAAAGCUAAUAAAUUGAAAGCAUCUGUAUUUUCUGGCCGGUGUACAGACGUGAGGUUUGUAACUGGCUAGACCUGCCAAAGAGGGCCCAAGGGAGCCGCACACACGGGGAAGAAAGCCAAAGAGCACAAGAUGUGAACCAGAUGAGUCUCCGCAAACCUUUCAAGAAAUGAUUCACUCAAUGUGUCGACUAAACCAGGAGUUCUCAACCUUUUUGCUUCUGAGGAAUGUUGUCCUAUUUCUGGAUUAAUAUUA